AGCCCCGCCUUCACACCGUGGGAGGCAGCCCAGAGGCCACCGGCACAGGGUGGUGGCCCCCAGAUCAUACAGCAGUGGACACAGGGGAAGCAAACCUGAGUGAGGACACAAGAGCCUGGUCCGGCUCCGCUGCACAGGAUUGCCACCAGUUCACUGAGAGGAGUCAUUGAAAACAUGGCAUUGAGGACAGAGACUGCCACUUCAGAAUUUUCUACAUCCAACUGCUGAAGCCACUCGAAGAUAUUUCCCUCAGAGAACCAUAACCAGCUUUGGAGAAGAUGCUUCCACAUAGCUUGUUUCACAGCAUCUCAUCUCUCAUUAAAACCUUGUUGAGGGAGCAUUACUGUCUGAGCAAUGGACAUAGCUCUCAUACGAACCUUUUCAGCUAACACCGGAUAAGCCAGCUUUCUGACAGCCUCUUUCACAUCCUUGGUGCACCCUACAAUUUUUGGCAAAGUCUUUGCUGAUGGUGCAAUACAUGAUAA
This is a long non-coding RNA of Homo sapiens (human), 485 nucleotides long. The record is from Ensembl. Lineage: Eukaryota; Metazoa; Chordata; Mammalia; Primates; Hominidae.